UACAGAGGGUGCGAGCGUUGUUCGGAAUUAUUGGGCGUAAAGGGCGCGUAGGCGGUGCCACAAGUCACUUGUGAAAUCCCCGGGCUUAACUCGGGGCCUGCAGGCGAAACUGUGGUGCUGGAGUAUGGGAGAGGUGCGUGGAAUUCCCGGUGUAGCGGUGAAAUGCGUAGAUAUCAGGAGGAACACCAAUAGCGAAGGCAGCUCGCUGGGACGUUACUGACACUGAGGCGCGAAAGCGUGGGGAGCGAACAGG
Molecule: ribosomal RNA, 253 nt
Filed under: uncultured bacterium
Lineage: Bacteria
Description: partial 16S ribosomal RNA
Rfam family: Bacterial small subunit ribosomal RNA
Source: RNAcentral